AACGAACGUUGGCGGCGUGGCUUAGGCAUGCAAGUCGAACGCGAAUCCCUGGGCAACUGGGGAGGAGAGUGGCGAAAGGGGCAGUAAGGCGUGGGUAACCUACCCUCCGGGCCGGGAUAGCUUCGGGAAACUGAAGGUAAUACCGGGCGACGCAGCGAGAUCGCAUGGUCUUGCUGCCAAAGGUCCGCCGCCGGGGGAGGGGCUCACGUGGUAUUAGCUAGACGGCGGGGUAACGGCCCACCGUGGCAAAGAUGCCUAGCAGGUGUGAGAGCACGACCUGCGCCACUGGCACUGAGACACUGGCCAGACACCUACGGGUGGCUGCAGUCGAGGAUCUUCGGCAAUGGGCGCAAGCCUGACCGAGCGACGCCGCGUGUGCGAUGAAGGCCUUCGGGUUGUAAAGCACUGUCGAGGGGGAGGAAGCCGCAAGGUUGACCUAUCCCUGGAGGAAGCACGGGCUAAGUUCGUG
This 469-nucleotide ribosomal RNA is filed under the name uncultured bacterium. RNAcentral's name for it is "partial 16S ribosomal RNA". It matches the Rfam family "Bacterial small subunit ribosomal RNA", at positions 28 to 507 of the family's 1533-position model. The record is from RNAcentral.